RNAcentral lists this ribosomal RNA (406 nucleotides) under uncultured bacterium. Its description in RNAcentral is "partial 16S ribosomal RNA". It matches the Rfam family "Bacterial small subunit ribosomal RNA", at positions 30 to 526 of the family's 1533-position model. The record is from RNAcentral.
AUUGAACGCUGGCGGCAGGCCUAACACAUGCAAGUCGAACGAGUGGCGGACGGGAGAGUAAUGUCUGGGAAACUGCCCGAGGGAGGGGGAUAACUACUGGAAACGGUAGCUAAUACCGCAUACCAGCGGAUGUGCCCAGCUGGGAGUAGCUAGUAGGUGGGGUAACGGCUCACCGAGGCGACGAUCCCUAGCUGGUCUGAGAGGAUGACCAUCCACACUGGACCUGAGACACGGUCCCGACUCCUACGGGAGGCAGCAGUGGAGAAUAUUGCACAAUGGGCGCAAGCCUGAUGCAGCCAUGCCGCGUGUAUGAAGAAGGCCUUCGGGUUGUAAAGUUCUUGCAGCGAGGAGGCGUUACUCGCAGAAGCAGCACCGGCUAACUCCGUGCCAGCAGCCGCGGUAAUAC